GCCUGGGUGGCUCAGUCGGUUGAGCGUCCGACUUCGACUCAGGUCAUGAUCUCGCGGUCUGUGGGUUCGAGCCCUGCGUCGGGCU
RNAcentral lists this transfer RNA (85 nucleotides) under Felis catus (domestic cat). It matches the Rfam family "tRNA". From Rfam's summary of the family: Transfer RNA (tRNA) molecules are approximately 80 nucleotides in length. Their secondary structure includes four short double-helical elements and three loops (D, anti-codon, and T loops). Lineage: Eukaryota; Metazoa; Chordata; Mammalia; Carnivora; Felidae. The record is from Rfam by way of RNAcentral.